RNAcentral lists this ribosomal RNA (196 nucleotides) under uncultured bacterium. RNAcentral describes it as "partial 16S ribosomal RNA". It matches the Rfam family "Bacterial small subunit ribosomal RNA", at positions 337 to 525 of the family's 1533-position model. The record is from RNAcentral.
UCCUACGGGAGGCAGCAGUGGGGAAUAUUGGACAAUGGGCGCAAGCCUGAUCCAGCCAUACCGCGUGGGUGAAGAAGGCCUUCGGGUUGUAAAGCCCUUUUGUUGGGAAAGAAAUCCUAUCGGUUAAUAACCGGUGGGGAUGACGGUACCCAAAGAAUAAGCACCGGCUAACUUCGUGCCAGCACCCGCGGUAAUA